Molecule: ribosomal RNA, 253 nt
Filed under: uncultured bacterium
Lineage: Bacteria
Description: partial 16S ribosomal RNA
Rfam family: Bacterial small subunit ribosomal RNA
Source: RNAcentral
UACGGAGGGUGCAAGCGUUGCUCGGAAUUAUUGGGCGUAAAGCGCGUGUAGGCGGUUAUCUAAGUCUGAUGUGAAAUCCUGGGGCUUAACCCCAGAACUGCAUUGGAUACUGGAUAGCUAGAGGGCAGAAGAGGAUGGUGGAAUUCCUGGUGUAGGGGUGAAAUCCGUAGAUAUCAGGAGGAACAUCAGUGGCGAAGGCGGCCAUCUGGUCUGUACCUGACGCUGAGACGCGAAAGCGUGGGGAGCAAACAGG